RNAcentral lists this long non-coding RNA (486 nucleotides) under Mus pahari (shrew mouse). Its description in RNAcentral is "lncRNA (MGP_PahariEiJ_G0003787.1)". Lineage: Eukaryota; Metazoa; Chordata; Mammalia; Rodentia; Muridae. The record is from RNAcentral.
AACCAGUGGAGAGAAAAGUACAACCCAGGGCCCGAGUAAUGCAAAAGUCUCCCGGAAUGGGGCAAGUCUAACCUUGAGCAGCUACUAUCUAGAUCACGAGAACUGGAGACACGUGGAGGAUCUAGAAAUGGCUGACAGGAUCUGAGGCCUCGGGGAAUGGACAUAGCCUUACAGAACGAAAGAGAGGAGAGGGAAGUUGGGGGAAAAAGAUGGGGGUGACAGGCUCCACCAGCUUCUCGGAUGGAGCCAGCGCCCGUAUCCAUGCUAUCCGACUGCAGAGAGAGUCGUGGACAUGAAAAGAAAAGGCACAACAAGGGAGAGAGAACCUGCGCCCCGCGAUGGGCGGUGGGUCGUGCCGCCACCUACCGAAUCCGAGACGAAGCCUCGUGUUUGCAGGACCCGCAUACCCCAGACACCCAACCGAGCCCGAACCGCCAACGCCGAGCCUGCCAUUGUCUUCGGCGCCUCUCAGCUCGCGUUGCGGGC